Molecule: ribosomal RNA, 1560 nt
Filed under: Lactobacillus helveticus
Lineage: Bacteria; Bacillati; Bacillota; Bacilli; Lactobacillales; Lactobacillaceae
Description: bacterial SSU rRNA
Rfam family: Bacterial small subunit ribosomal RNA
Source: RNAcentral
AUGAGAGUUUGAUCCUGGCUCAGGACGAACGCUGGCGGCGUGCCUAAUACAUGCAAGUCGAGCGAGCAGAACCAGCAGAUUUACUUCGGUAAUGACGCUGGGGACGCGAGCGGCGGAUGGGUGAGUAACACGUGGGGAACCUGCCCCAUAGUCUAGGAUACCACUUGGAAACAGGUGCUAAUACCGGAUAAUAAAGCAGAUCGCAUGAUCAGCUUAUAAAAGGCGGCGUAAGCUGUCGCUAUGGGAUGGCCCCGCGGUGCAUUAGCUAGUUGGUAAGGUAACGGCUUACCAAGGCAAUGAUGCAUAGCCGAGUUGAGAGACUGAACGGCCACAUUGGGACUGAGACACGGCCCAAACUCCUACGGGAGGCAGCAGUAGGGAAUCUUCCACAAUGGACGCAAGUCUGAUGGAGCAACGCCGCGUGAGUGAAGAAGGUUUUCGGAUCGUAAAGCUCUGUUGUUGGUGAAGAAGGAUAGAGGUAGUAACUGGCCUUUAUUUGACGGUAAUCAACCAGAAAGUCACGGCUAACUACGUGCCAGCAGCCGCGGUAAUACGUAGGUGGCAAGCGUUGUCCGGAUUUAUUGGGCGUAAAGCGAGCGCAGGCGGAAGAAUAAGUCUGAUGUGAAAGCCCUCGGCUUAACCGAGGAAUUGCAUCGGAAACUGUUUUUCUUGAGUGCAGAAGAGGAGAGUGGAACUCCAUGUGUAGCGGUGGAAUGCGUAGAUAUAUGGAAGAACACCAGUGGCGAAGGCGGCUCUCUGGUCUGCAACUGACGCUGAGGCUCGAAAGCAUGGGUAGCGAACAGGAUUAGAUACCCUGGUAGUCCAUGCCGUAAACGAUGAGUGCUAAGUGUUGGGAGGUUUCCGCCUCUCAGUGCUGCAGCUAACGCAUUAAGCACUCCGCCUGGGGAGUACGACCGCAAGGUUGAAACUCAAAGGAAUUGACGGGGGCCCGCACAAGCGGUGGAGCAUGUGGUUUAAUUCGAAGCAACGCGAAGAACCUUACCAGGUCUUGACAUCUAGUGCCAUCCUAAGAGAUUAGGAGUUCCCUUCGGGGACGCUAAGACAGGUGGUGCAUGGCUGUCGUCAGCUCGUGUCGUGAGAUGUUGGGUUAAGUCCCGCAACGAGCGCAACCCUUAUUAUUAGUUGCCAGCAUUAAGUUGGGCACUCUAAUGAGACUGCCGGUGACAAACCGGAGGAAGGUGGGGAUGACGUCAAGUCAUCAUGCCCCUUAUGACCUGGGCUACACACGUGCUACAAUGGGCAGUACAACGAGAAGCGAGCCUGCGAAGGCAAGCGAAUCUCUGAAAGCUGUUCUCAGUUCGGACUGCAGUCUGCAACUCGACUGCACGAAGCUGGAAUCGCUAGUAAUCGCGGAUCAGAACGCCGCGGUGAAUACGUUCCCGGGCCUUGUACACACCGCCCGUCACACCAUGGAAGUCUGCAAUGCCCAAAGCCGGUGGCCUAACCUUCGGGAAGGAGCCGUCUAAGGCAGGGCAGAUGACUGGGGUGAAGUCGUAACAAGGUAGCCGUAGGAGAACCUGCGGCUGGAUCACCUCCUUU